RNAcentral lists this unclassified non-coding RNA (1217 nucleotides) under Caenorhabditis elegans. RNAcentral's name for it is "Non-coding transcript of protein-coding gene C56A3.8b". The record is from RNAcentral. Lineage: Eukaryota; Metazoa; Nematoda; Chromadorea; Rhabditida; Rhabditidae.
AUGUCAGCCAAUUCUACAUUGAGUCAUGUCGGGAUUGAUUCUGAUAAUGAAUCUGUUUACGAUCUGAUGUCUUCGUUGGAGCAUCGGAAGAAAGUCGAUGAUGAAUUUCAAUUAGUAUUUCAAAAAGCGCAGGAAGCUAUUAAUAAAGGAAUUCAACCAAGUUUGAUCCCCGAAGGCAGUUCUGGAUCUUAUUUUGUCUAUGGAUUGGAAGGAGAAAUUGUUGGAGUUUUCAAACCAAAAGACGAAGAGCCAUUCGCUUCUCUCAACCCAAAAUGGCCAAAGUUUUUUCAAAGAAUGCUCUGCUUUUGCUGCUUCGGACGUGCAUGCCUUAUCCCUAACACCGGAUACCUUUCUGAAGCCGCCGCUAGUAUUGUGAGCGAGAUGCUUCAGCUGGAUGUUGUUCCAACAACUCGAAUUGUGAAGCUCGCGUCUCCAUCAUUUUUCUAUUCUCGUUUCUUUGGUCAUUAUGAUGUUCGUCCGAAAGAGGGAAGUUUCCAACUUUAUGUCAAUGGCUAUGAGAGUGGAAAUACUGUUUUUGCUCGUUGGAAUUAUGACAAAAACUUGUUGAGUGAUGAGGAAGGAGCUAAUAUUUCAGGUUCCAACUUCUCUUCCAGAAAAUGUGCAUCGUCGACUACGUCAUCAGAAACACCGAUCGCCACAUGGAUAAUCUCCUAGUCAGACACGUUCCAGGAGAGGAGAUCAAUUUGGCUGCUAUCGACAAUGGAUUGGCAUUUCCAGUUAGACAUCCGGAAUGCACUUCAAGAUUCCGCUCAUUCCCGUUUCGUUGGUCCAAUCUUCCAUGGGCUCAAGGCGAGUUCGAUCCGGUUCUCCGUCGUCACGUGCUUUCACUGCUCACUCCGCAGUUUGUUCAUAGACUGUGCGUUGAUUUGAAGAAACUUUUCCGUCACGGAAUCGCUAGCUCCAACUACAUGCUUGUGAACAGCCAACUUCGUGUCGUUCGUGGACAAAUUUGGAAUCUCCGUCAGGCUAUUCUCGCAAACGAAUCGCCUGGUGAGAUGGCUUGUCGUGAUCCGAUUAUUGUCAGCCGAAGUUCAGACAUCGUAAUGAGCAACCCACCACCGCCUCGUGGGAUGAUUGGUUUAUUGUCAAGUCACCUAGCUACUCCAAACAACAACUCUUCUGAUGUUACCAUGAAAACCGCCAUUGAACACGAAAAAGAAAAUAGCACGGUUCCAGAAAAUCUUAUAACAUUGUAG